GCCAUAGCCGCCUCCCGCAACCAACUCCCUCCCUUAGAUCUCGAUCCGCUGCCGGCCCCAACCACCCCCCACCGCCACCGUAGACGAGGUCGAGGCUGACCCAAGAUCGAGUCCAUGCCCAGACUCGCGAUGGGCGUAGCGGGGAUGGGAUCCCAUCCCAUCCCGCUCCUCCUCCUCCUCCUCUCAGACUCCACCAAUUCCUCCCCAAAUCCAGCCGCCCACCGAACUCCUCUCCCCAACCCCACCGCCACCGGCGACCUCGUCUCCACAGCCCCACCGGCGACCUCCCUCCAUCCCUCCAUUCGUCGAGGGCGCCCGAAACCCUAGCCCCACUCCUCCCGCGCGGACGGGGCGACGGAGAUGGCCAAGGAUGCCGCAGAUCCGGCAAUGACGGCGCCGGAAUCCGCACCCAACCGCGGUGGCUGCUACACCAGCAUCACGAGACGGUGAUGGGGGGUCCCUAGCCCUUGAUGACGGCGAGGUAUGAGAUGGGAUGCAGCACCAAGACGCCCGGGUACGCCCUCCUCCUUCCUUCCUCAUCUCAUGUGCCUGCAGAUUCUCCUCUCCUCUCAUCUCAUGUGCCGCUGCUUGUUUGCUUCUUUCCGUGGGCACUGGGCAAACCCGACCUUUUCUUUCUCUCUGCGCCCGACCACGGCCACGGCAAUGGCAACGGCAAGGGGAACCCGACCGGUGAUGCGUUCGUUCGCAGCCUCACAAUGUUCAGCUUACUGAAGACAAACUUCCUCAAGAGGUCCGUGUAUUGCUCGAUGACGCUGUUGUUGCAACAUCGUCCUCCUCGACCACAACUACCACGCCCGCGUCUCUGACUUGGGCACCGCCAAGGUCCACCACAACUGUAGAAACGUCCUCCUCGACCACAUCCACGCGGGGCAGAAGGAGUGAACUGCUACUUGUAUCUGGAAUGGAGCUCUUGCUUUAGAUAGCAUGCAAGAAUUUCCCUCACUCGCGUCAUUUAUGUUCCAAAUUGCCCUUCAGCACCACUACUCACCCGAAGAAUUGUGUAAUGUGCUAAUGUUAUGUGUGUGAUGCUCCAGCUCCAUGCAAGCACUGGGGCAAAGGGCUCUGUCAAGCAGGUCUCUGUGAUGAUAUGAUGUGGUGCUUAUCUUUUUUCGUUGCUGGAACCUGGAUGUCAUAUGUUAUGUGAUCUGAGCCAUAUGGCAUAUUGGAAUCUUUUUAUUUCCAGUUUUAUGUACGAUGUCAUGAAGAUGUAUGUUUGAAAUGUUGUUUUGACAGCAAAAUUGUAUUCAUGUGUACAUUUUGCUUUGACAGCAAAAUUAUGAAAUUUCUCAACAAUAUGUAU
This 1321-nucleotide ribosomal RNA is filed under the name Triticum aestivum (bread wheat). RNAcentral describes it as "partial small subunit ribosomal RNA". The record is from RNAcentral. Lineage: Eukaryota; Viridiplantae; Streptophyta; Magnoliopsida; Poales; Poaceae.